GUUGUGGCUCAGUGGUAGAGUGCUUGCCUAGCAUGUGUGGUACUGGGUUCAAUUCUCAACACCACA
This 66-nucleotide transfer RNA is filed under the name Marmota monax (woodchuck). RNAcentral's name for it is "tRNA.Ala". Lineage: Eukaryota; Metazoa; Chordata; Mammalia; Rodentia; Sciuridae. The record is from RNAcentral.